RNAcentral lists this long non-coding RNA (450 nucleotides) under Salvator merianae (Argentine black and white tegu). Its description in RNAcentral is "lncRNA (ENSSMRG00000021410.1)". Lineage: Eukaryota; Metazoa; Chordata; Lepidosauria; Squamata; Teiidae. The record is from RNAcentral.
GGAAACCCUGAACAGCAACAAGGCUGCAUGUCUAGGUGAAAGGUUGAUACAGGCUUGAAGAAAGAGUCACCGAGGGUUGCUGUCAUUACAGUGUGUGAUAGACUGACUGAAAGGCUCUGAAAGACAUAAGGGAAGGAAACAGGGUAAGGAGUGCCCAGAAUGGCUUAAGACAAGUACAAAACCCGAUAGAUUUUACAGGAACUGGAAACCCUUUAUUGACCUUCUGCAAGAGAUGGAUAAUGGACUUGCGAUUGCUGGAUUUGAAGAGUAAAAAAAAAAAAAAAAAAAAGAAGAAGAAGAAAGAACAGUUUCAGUGAAAAAAAGAAGGAAUGAGUACAGGAUGUCGAAGAACAUGAAGUUUAGAAGAAACUGUUAAUGAAGGAUGAAUUUGAUAAUAAUAGUGACUUAAGAAUGUAAUGUAAACUGUAAUUUUAUAUAUUUGAAAUACAA